This 238-nucleotide long non-coding RNA is filed under the name Phascolarctos cinereus (koala). Its description in RNAcentral is "lncRNA (ENSPCIG00000031804.1)". The record is from RNAcentral. Lineage: Eukaryota; Metazoa; Chordata; Mammalia; Diprotodontia; Phascolarctidae.
UUAGCCAAAGAAUUAGAUGCAACCUCAGCUACUACUCCGGGACUUCUAGGAGAAGACUGCGAGCUCUCUGGGUUGUGCUCCUGCAGGCGCAGAUUCUGAAGGAUGCAUUUCAUCAUGGAGAAUUAUUAGAGGAAAUGUGAAUAGCUCAACACAGCCCUUCUGUUACUUAUUACCUGUGUGUCUUUGGAAGCACAAAGUAAGUGACCUAGCAAAGGACUUGAAACACAUCAUUACUUGA